This is a long non-coding RNA of Panicum virgatum (switchgrass), 2057 nucleotides long. RefSeq lists it as uncharacterized. The transcript is spliced from 3 exons. The record is from RefSeq and is a predicted model, not a curated record. NCBI's taxonomy places the organism in Eukaryota, Viridiplantae, Streptophyta, Magnoliopsida, Poales, Poaceae.
GUUUCAAAUUUAUUCCAUUUCUCUUCAAAAAAUUUCUGAAAAUAUUUCUCCAAAAAAAUUAUUAGAAAACCAUAAAAAUUUACUAGAAAAAAAAAACGGUCGGAUCGACGGUAAAUUAGCUUGCCCCUCAGAACAACCCCCUGCCAGCAACCUAGCCGCAUGGACGCGCCCCCCCUGCCGGCGCUCAUGCGCCCUUCGCCGUCCGGCCACCAACCUCUCGGUCUCCCCCGAGUCCCGACGAUAUACGCGCGUGCACGCGACACCAGCACAAGCUCCAACCCGCUGAUGACCACUUUCUCCGCACACCUCCGGCGUAAGCAUACGGGCCGUCGCAGCGGUGGCGACGCCGGCGCGCUGCGUCACCCACGGGCGCCUGCCCUACCGCCGUGCCGCCGCCGCUGACGGGGCUGCAGGGCUCUCCGCUCCUCUUCCUGACUGGUAGCUAGUGUCCCUCGCCGCCUCCCGGCGCACCGGUGGGUGGCGCACGGCGUCGUGCGCCGCGGCCAGAGCAUGGUCGGUACUCGAUUUACCGUCCGGGACUCCGGGGUGGACGGUACUUCAUUUACCGUCCACCCCGGGAAGCUAGAUGCCGUCCAAUCUAUAUCCAGCGGGUAAGAUUAAGCAGGGGCACCCCCUAUACGGCGCGAUUGUCUCGCCGCGGAUAAGCAAGCGCGACGGGUGGGCGCGGCGCGCCGUGGUCGGAGACGACAGCCGCCGACAUCCCCAGGGUAGACCGGCGCUUCCGCCGGUGUCGGAAGAACUGCGUCGGAAUCCACUGCUGUCAGGUGCGUGACCUCUGCUCUGUCGGCACGCCGGCACGGCGCUUCACCCCCGCCACCCCUUCGCGCCGCCGUGUGCAACUCUCGAGCAUAGCAAGGCCAACUCAACUAUGGACGCCAGGUACGUAUUCAAGAUGCUGAAAUUCUCAGGAGGCCUACUUGCAUCUCUAAUAUCAUUAUUCAACUCAUCUAGCACUAUGCUACUGUCAACGACAUUUGAGAGUUCAUGUGGAAAUGCUUGGCUAACCCACUGUCUUAAGCUCAACUCACCAACAAACAUUGCAUCAGUCGGCUUUUUCCUUGUGAAGACUUCAAGGAGAACAAUUCCAUAGCUAUAAAUGUCACUGGCACGUGAUGCUUUUCCUGUUGAUCCGAACUCUGUUCAUUCCAUGUCAAAAGAAAACUGGUGAGCUUAAAUAAGAACAGGGAUGUGUGCUGCAUCAUACAUUGCAAGGAAAUUUAUACUUACCAGGUGCCAUGUAUCCUACAGUGCCAGGCAUGCUUGUUAACGUGAUGGAGUUUUCAUCUCCAGCUAGCAGCUUGGAAAUGCCAAAGUCAGAAACAUGUGCAGUCAUGUCCUGAUCCAACAAGAUAUUGCUUGGCUUUAAAUCACAAUGCAGGACAGCUUCAAAGUGCCGGUGGUGGAGAUACUCCAUCGCCAUUGCAACAUCCAGCAUUAUGCCAACCCUUUGAAGGAAACUGAGUUGCCUCCUAUCAUUUGAGUACAACAAAUCCUCCAAACUACCAUGAGACAUAUACUCAAGAAUUAGUGCUCUGAAGUCAAGAUUGGAGCAAGUGCUAAUUAUCUUCACCAAGUUCCGGUGCCGAGCCAUUCUUAGUGCACGGCACUCUGUGUCAAAGCUCUUGGAAGCUAGUUCAUGCUGCAUGCUUAGUACCUUUAUUGCAACCACAGAUCCAUCAUCCAAUUCACCUUUGAAUACUUUCCCAAAGCUUCCAGCCCCUAGCAAGUUAUCAUCAGUGAAGUUGCUGGUUGCACGGACAAGUUCGUGGUGUGAGAUCAACUGAUAGUUCAGCAAGUCUUUGUCUGAGGGUACUGUCGUCUUUCUUCGUAUAUUCACUUUCACUCUUACCAUCAUAUACAGGCACACAGCUAAAACAAAAAAUGCCAGAACUGCAGGUGGGGAAGGCCACAGAGGGCAUUGUUCCCCAUCAAUGAUGGGAGGGUGAUAUUUGAGAACACCCCUCCUUCUGGUAUCUGUCCACUCAGGCUGUUGAAAGAAAGGUUCAAGUUUGCAAGGUGGGUGAGAUUGGUCAAGG